AUUGAACGCUGGCGGCAGGCCUAACACAUGCAAGUCGAGCGAGCGGCGGACGGGUGAGCAAUGUCUGGGAAACUGCCUGAUGGAUGGGGAUAACUACUGGAAACGGUAGCUAAUACCGCAUACCAUCAGAUGUGCCCAGAUGGGAUUAGCUAGGAGGGGGGGUAAUGGCUCACCUAGGCGCAGAUCCCUAGCUGGUCUGAGAGGAUGACCAGCCACACUGGAACUGGGCCACGGUCCAGACUCCUACGGGAGGCAGCAGUGGGGAAUAUUGCACAAUGGGCGCAAGCCUGAUGCAGCCAUGCCGCGUGUAUGAAGAAGGCCUUCGGGUUGUAAAGUACUUUCAGCGGGGAGGCGUUACCAGCAGAAGAAGCACCGGCUAACUCCGUGCCAGCAGCCGCGGUAAUAC
RNAcentral lists this ribosomal RNA (406 nucleotides) under uncultured bacterium. RNAcentral's name for it is "partial 16S ribosomal RNA". It matches the Rfam family "Bacterial small subunit ribosomal RNA", at positions 30 to 526 of the family's 1533-position model. The record is from RNAcentral.